UUCUUAGCUAUGAUCAUGAAAACACGAAUUUUAUAUAUUUUUUUAUUUAAUUCACCUGUGCACUUUAUUGUUGGACCACGUGUUAUCAUGAAUGAAAAGUUGUAUUGAGCAUUGCAACUGCUUACGGAAUAACACGUGAUGUGCAGUUAGCCAAUCAGAAUAAAGUAUUAUAAUGAAACAUACAUCUAAUGUAAUUAUUUAUAAAU
This 206-nucleotide long non-coding RNA is filed under the name Mytilus galloprovincialis (Mediterranean mussel). The record is from RNAcentral. Lineage: Eukaryota; Metazoa; Mollusca; Bivalvia; Mytilida; Mytilidae.